GAGAACGCUGUCGGCGUGCCUAACACAUGCAAGUCGUAUGGGCAUUAGGCUGGUUACUUUUGGAACUGGUGCUGGCGACCGGCGAACGGGUGAGUAACACGUGAGCAACCUACCCCGAGGAGGGGGAUAACCCGGGGAAACCCGGGCUAAUACCCCAUAAGCGCACGGCCUGCAUGGGCAGUGUGAAAAGGGUGGCCUCUGCUUUGCAAGCUGCCGCNUCGGGAUGGGCUCGCGUCCCAUCAGGUAGUUGGUGGGGUAACNGCCCACCAAGCCUACGACGGGUAGCCGGCCUGAGAGGGUGGUCGGCCACACCGGGACUGAGACACGGCCCGGACCCCUACGGGGGGCAGCAGUGGGGAAUCGUGGGCAAUGGGCGAAAGCCUGACCCCGCGACGCCGCGUGGGGGAUGAAGGCCCUUGGGUCGUAAACCCCUGUCAGGAGGGAAGAACGGCUCGGUGGUGAAUAAUCACCGGNUCUGACGGUACCUCCAGAGGAAGGGACGGCUAACUACGUGCCAGCAGCCGCNGUAAUACGUA
Molecule: ribosomal RNA, 536 nt
Filed under: uncultured Desulfurobacterium sp.
Lineage: Bacteria; Pseudomonadati; Aquificota; Aquificia; Desulfurobacteriales; Desulfurobacteriaceae
Description: bacterial SSU rRNA
Rfam family: Bacterial small subunit ribosomal RNA
Source: RNAcentral